GGUGGCUCAGUGGUAGAGCGCUUGUCUGGCAUGCAUGGGGCCCUGGGUUCGAUUCCUCAGCACCA
RNAcentral lists this transfer RNA (65 nucleotides) under Dipodomys ordii (Ord's kangaroo rat). It matches the Rfam family "tRNA". Rfam says of the family: Transfer RNA (tRNA) molecules are approximately 80 nucleotides in length. The record is from Rfam by way of RNAcentral. Lineage: Eukaryota; Metazoa; Chordata; Mammalia; Rodentia; Heteromyidae.